GAUGAACGCUGGCGGCGUGCCUAAUACAUGCAAGUCGAGCGAACAGACGAGGAGCUUGCUCCUCUGACGUUAGCGGCGGACGGGUGAGUAACACGUGGAUAACCUACCUAUAAGACUGGGAUAACUUCGGGAAACCGGAGCUAAUACCGGAUAAUAUAUUGAACCGCAUGGUUCAAUAGUGAAAGACGGUUUUGCUGUCACUUAUAGAUGGAUCCGCGCCGCAUUAGCUAGUUGGUAAGGUAACGGCUUACCAAGGCAACGAUGCGUAGCCGACCUGAGAGGGUGAUCGGCCACACUGGAACUGAGAUACGGUCCAGACUCCUACGGGAGGCAGCAGUAGGGAAUCUUCCGCAAUGGGCGAAAGCUUGACGGAGCAACGCCGCGUGAGUGAUGAAGGUCUUCGGAUCGUAAAACUCUGUUAUUAGGGAAGAACAAAUGUGUAAGUAACUAUGCACGUCUUGACGGUACCUAAUCAGAAAGCCACGGCUAACUACGUG
This 497-nucleotide ribosomal RNA is filed under the name uncultured bacterium. RNAcentral describes it as "partial 16S ribosomal RNA". It matches the Rfam family "Bacterial small subunit ribosomal RNA", at positions 28 to 507 of the family's 1533-position model. The record is from RNAcentral.